This 58-nucleotide transfer RNA is filed under the name Cavia porcellus (domestic guinea pig). It matches the Rfam family "tRNA". From Rfam's summary of the family: Transfer RNA (tRNA) molecules are approximately 80 nucleotides in length. Their secondary structure includes four short double-helical elements and three loops (D, anti-codon, and T loops). Further hydrogen bonds mediate the characteristic L-shaped molecular structure. tRNAs have two regions of fundamental functional importance: the anti-codon, which is responsible for specific mRNA codon recognition, and the 3' end, to which the tRNAs corresponding amino acid is attached (by aminoacyl-tRNA synthetases). tRNAs cope with the degeneracy of the genetic code in two manners: having more than one tRNA (with a specific anti-codon) for a particular amino acid; and 'wobble' base-pairing, i.e. permitting non-standard base-pairing at the 3rd anti-codon position. The record is from Rfam by way of RNAcentral. Lineage: Eukaryota; Metazoa; Chordata; Mammalia; Rodentia; Caviidae.
GGGGAUUUAGCUCAUAAGCACCUGCCUUGCAAGCAGGCGGUCGUGAGUUCAGUCCCCA